AGUAAAGUAACAUCCGUACCAGCAACUUUAUUUCUCUGGGUGACAGCCGCAUGAUAUCAAGCUGACAGCCUCGGUUAAUGUCGGCUGAGUGUGACAGCCAUCACAGACCUGCAUCCACGACACAUGAAAAGGCUUUGUGUCGAGAAGAAGGCCCUCUACUGAGACAGAAGAGGACAUGUUGUUCUCAGUUAGAAACAGGCAUUCAGAGACAGAGACAGAGUGUAUGUGUGUGUGUGCGUGUGUGUGUCCUUACAGCGACAGGACAGGGAGUGCUGAUUUACACAUAGCCAACCCAAACACAGAUGCCCCGGUCCUUCCUUCCUUCCUGUGGGCAACAGAAGGAGACACAAUGUGUUCAAGAGGCCGGAGCUGACAAAGGGAUUAUCCAGUGACAACAAAUGCUGCAAUCUCUGGCAUAAGACGAGGCAGAAAAAUACAUAUCAUAUGGCAGCGACGGCACAGAAGCGGGCAGAAAUGAAGGGAAGAAACUGCAAAAGAAAAAGAUGAACUCGUCUUGCUCUCUGAUGUCUCCAUGGGGAAUGGAACGAUGGCAGAGACGCAUGCCGAGGCCACUCCUUUCAUCCGAGCCACAGAGAGAGAAGCAUUGGCACUGUUGACGGAGAAAGAAAAGUGACAUUUUCGGCACUGUGAUAGCUCGCAUCUCCAAAUUGAUGCCUUGUCUGACAUAGUCAGAAGGAGGUGUAAUGAAUGUGCUUUGGGGACAAGAAAUGCAUGCCUCUCGGACAUGGUGAGAUCCUAGGCUGUGGGGGCAUUGUUACCGCUUUGCGUUUUAAAGUGCAGAAGACCAGCUGGUUUGUGUUAUUCAAAUGCAGAGGAGUUGGAGAAAAUGUGCGUUCAUCCACUGCGGCGGGGGAUAAUAGUUUGGACAAGAGCAUCCAUUUCUGAAACCGCUCUUUAUGCUAUUUCUGUCACUCACAAUACACUGCGACGCGUUUUCCACGCUGACACUGUUUGAAAUGUUCCCUUUAUAUACAGCUGAGUUCUGGACAAAAGAUUUAAAUGAUUGUCAUUUUCCCCGGCAUUCACAGUCAGUCAUCAUUUGCUCUUUAUGUGGAAUCUUCCACUGACUGUAUGUGUGGCAUACAAACAGGCUCAUGGGAGGUCAUGGGAGUGCUGAGCUGACAGUCAAGGCACCAGCUGUCACUCACAGCCCCAUCACCAGCCGCGUCGCACUGAAUCUUCUGACGGCCACAUGACUACAAUGGCGUAUUUCUGCUUCUUUUUUUCUGACAUGUAUGUAUCCGCUCGUUGGAUUGGCAUCACGGGGAAAAAAAAAAAUCCUUUAUCAAGACCCAGAUGUUCUCUGUAAUCAUCCUGGUUGUGCCAUCAUGGAAACCACUCACAAACAUGCAUUCAUGUGUUUUAUUUCAUGGUUCCCGGCCGUCCCACUAGUUUUAUAUGUUAAAUAUUCACAGUUUGUCCAAUAUUUCAGUACAUUUCAACUCGAUACUCAUCCAACCAAAAGAAAUCAACGCACAAUAAAGGACAUUUCACUGAAAAA
Long non-coding RNA from Solea senegalensis (Senegalese sole), 1522 nucleotides. RefSeq lists it as uncharacterized. Lineage: Eukaryota; Metazoa; Chordata; Actinopteri; Pleuronectiformes; Soleidae. The record is from RefSeq and is a predicted model, not a curated record. The transcript has 2 exons.